ACCGUGGUGGGUGCCCAGAGAGGCCCCUCACUGAGGUUGGGAUGGGGAGCUUAGGCCAAGUACACAGUUGUAGGUAACGUGGCUGUUCUGAGCCCACCAGUACCCCUCCUUGUUGCCCAUCUUAUUGUCUCACAGAUUUCCCCCAACCCCUCUGGUAAGGGGCACAGGGAAGAGGCCCAGUUGGGCGAGUAUCAGGCUAUGGAUGAGGUGCAGUUUGUCGGUUCUCUCCCCAGGGUCAGCCAUGCCAAGGGAGCCUGCUCUGCUUCUGAGAAUUGGCUCCUCUGCAGUGGACUACAGAAGUUUCAUAAUUUCAUUGCUUAAACAGCAUGUGUCUGAUACUUUUUAACAUGCCUGAAUGUAAUCCUGGGUGCACUGCUGUGCAACUGAUUUGUGAAAAGGCAAUAUUUGCCAGGUAUGUCCCCAAGUUACUGGGCUGAGCUCUCCCUCCCCGCCCCCCUCUACAACUUUUCACAUAGGCCACUAAAUAGCAAUUACAGAACAGCCACCUUCAGUCACUGCAUCCCUGGGCCAGAUUUGAACCAGCAAAAUGGCGUUCAGAUCCCACGGUGAUUGGUGGACAUCAGAAACACCUAGAUAGCCCUGGCAACUGUGCUGAGUGAGCAUUCGAAUUAGUACUACCAGUAUUCUCCACGUGGUGGCAGCAGACAAACAUCUCAUGCUUUAGGAAAACCAAAAGCUCUCCUUUUCAAUAUGAGAGCCAGAUUCAAGGGCUCUACUCCAAAUUGUUUUUGUGAUACAGGCAUCUAUCCACCAGGACCUGCACAGAGAAAUCUCACAUUAUUUCACACAGCCCCUGGAUGAACUGUUGUCGUGAUUUUUGGUCUGAGAAGAGGAAGUGUUGUCUAUUGGUUAGCGCAAAGAACUGACCAACAGGACAGCUUCUAGCCUUGGUGCUGCCACCUUGGACAAGGUUACUUCUGUGCCUUAGUUCUUCCAGCUGUACAAGAGGGAUAAUAAUCCUCAUGGAACUUGCCUGGGUGGUGAGGCAUACUUAACUGUGAUAAUGGUGAUGUUUGGAGAUCUUCACAUGAAAGGUG
Molecule: long non-coding RNA, 1058 nt
Organism: Caretta caretta (loggerhead turtle)
Lineage: Eukaryota; Metazoa; Chordata; Testudines; Cheloniidae
Source: RefSeq, a predicted model, not a curated record